UACGGAGGAUCCGAGCGUUAUCCGGAUUUAUUGGGUUUAAAGGGUGCGCAGGCGGGAUGUUAAGUCGGCGGUGAAAUUUUGCAGCUCAACUGUAAAAGUGCCUUCGAUACUGGCUUUCUUGAGUGUGGAUGAAGUAGGCGGAAUUUGUGGUGUAGCGGUGAAAUGCUUAGAUAUCACGAGGAACUCCGAUUGCGCAGGCAGCUUACUAAACUACUACUGACGCUCAGGCACGAAGGCGUGGGGAGUCAAACAGGAUUAGAUACCCU
This 266-nucleotide ribosomal RNA is filed under the name uncultured prokaryote. RNAcentral describes it as "partial 16S ribosomal RNA". It matches the Rfam family "Bacterial small subunit ribosomal RNA", at positions 524 to 788 of the family's 1533-position model. The record is from RNAcentral.